CUUGCCAGUAUGGACGCCUUCAUCUGGCUUUCUGCUGAGACAGAGGAGGCUAUAAAGCACGGUUAUCAUCCCCAAGCAACGAGGCUUCGAAUGGUGUGACUCCAAGGACAAGAUGAGGGCCGAGGAGAAGGCUCAUCCCUGAGAGGUGCUGGCUGCCAGGACCGCCCGCCCGAGCUUGAUCCCUGGGACCUAGACGAUGUGAGAAGAGAAGCUGUGGACGUAAUAUUCACCAGCGUCAUCAAAUGCAGAAAGACUGAAGGCUGAGACUGCUAGUGCUGGUCAUUGUUCUCACUGCUGCAGCGGAAUCCAACCAGAAGCAAC
Apodemus sylvaticus (European woodmouse) is the source of this 321-nucleotide long non-coding RNA. RefSeq lists it as uncharacterized. The record is from RefSeq and is a predicted model, not a curated record. The transcript is spliced from 3 exons. Lineage: Eukaryota; Metazoa; Chordata; Mammalia; Rodentia; Muridae.